CUGAGCGGAGCGGCUCGCUGCGUCGCCUCACCCCCUGCUGUGACACUCCCACCUGCAGCUCCUCACAUUAACCCAGACUCAGGCCAGUUUCUGUGCAACAGACGAUGGACGUCAAACAGCAGCUUGUGCUCCUGUCUGUCUUAAUGUGGAGUCCAGACUUUAUUCAAAGCAGCGAUGUCACUCAAACCUCCACCGUGUGGAAAUUCAUAGGUGAAGAUGCAACAAUGAACUGCAGCCACACCAAGGGUGAAUUUUACUACCAGAUGUACUGGUACCGACAGCUGCCGGGACAAACCAUGGAGCUCAUAGUGUUCACAACCACGACCAAACCAGAUCACGACUUCGGGAAGUUCAGCAAAGACAAAUUCUCGGCCGCCAAACCUGACGCUAAGAGCGGGACAUUCACGGUGAAGAACCUGGGGCCUGGAGACGGAGGCCUGUACUUCUGUGCUGUGAGUGAGCACAGUGAUGUAGACACACGCUGAAGCUGAACAAAAACCUCAGAGAUGAUUCAUCUCCUGCACUAUGAGGGGGAAGGUGAGAACCAAAAGGACUUUGAGG
Betta splendens (Siamese fighting fish) is the source of this 561-nucleotide non-coding RNA. The record is from the annotation of a RefSeq genome assembly. NCBI's taxonomy places the organism in Eukaryota, Metazoa, Chordata, Actinopteri, Anabantiformes, Osphronemidae.